RNAcentral lists this ribosomal RNA (342 nucleotides) under uncultured bacterium. Its description in RNAcentral is "bacterial SSU rRNA". It matches the Rfam family "Bacterial small subunit ribosomal RNA", at positions 32 to 354 of the family's 1533-position model. The record is from RNAcentral.
UUAACGCUGGCGGCGUGCCUAACACAUGCAAGUCAUACGGUCCUACUUAGUAGCCCUUUAAAGGCGAAGGUGGGAUAGUGGCGAACGGGUGAGUAAUACGUGGGUAACCUACCCUUAAAUGGGAGAUAACCUCGAGAAAUCGGGGCUAAUACCACAUGACGUCCCGUUUCAUAGGGAACGGGAUUAAAGGUCCUGUAAGGGACUGUUUGAGGAUGGGCCCGCGACCUAUUAGCUUGUUGGUAGGGUAAUGGCCUACCAAGGCUACGAUGGGUAGCCGACCUGAGAGGGUGUACGGCCACACUGGGAUUGAGAUACGGCCCAGACUCCUACGGGAGGCAGCAG